RNAcentral lists this transfer RNA (65 nucleotides) under Chalcophora japonica. RNAcentral describes it as "tRNA-Asn". Lineage: Eukaryota; Metazoa; Arthropoda; Insecta; Coleoptera; Buprestidae. The record is from RNAcentral.
UUAAUUGAAACCAAAAUAGAGGUAUACCACUGUUAAUGGUAUCAUUGAGAAUAUCUCCAAUUAAA